CGCCAUAGCAUUGCUUCUGGUAUCCCCGGGGUCGUCACGCCGGGGGUUUAAACGGGAAGCUGGUGCGAUCGUCCCCACGGGACAGUCAAUGCCAGCGCUGCCCCCGCAACGGUAAGCGAGAAGGGCACGCAUCACGCCACUGUGCAUUUCGCAUGGGAAGGCGCCUGUCCAGGGAAACCCCCGCCUCGCCAGCCCGGAGACCGGCCCGGAGCAAAUUCUAAAA
Molecule: non-coding RNA, 223 nt
Filed under: Herbaspirillum sp. YR522
Lineage: Bacteria; Pseudomonadati; Pseudomonadota; Betaproteobacteria; Burkholderiales; Oxalobacteraceae
Also listed under: 1 other name
Source: RNAcentral